This is a long non-coding RNA of Biomphalaria glabrata, 2397 nucleotides long. RefSeq lists it as uncharacterized. The record is from RefSeq and is a predicted model, not a curated record. NCBI's taxonomy places the organism in Eukaryota, Metazoa, Mollusca, Gastropoda, Planorbidae. The transcript has 3 exons.
GCUGUGAGCUCUUUUGCAGACUGUGCCAAGGAAAAAUGGUUUUGCUAUUCUCAUCAGUUGUUCAGCUGUUGUGGUAGUAGGGUCUUCAUAAAGGGAGUUAGGAAGGGGCAUUCAGAGAGUUUAUUGUUUCAUAAGGGUGGAUGCAGUGUUUGGCUUGGUCAUUUCUUUGUACAUAGCUCUGCCUGUGUUUCCUAAUGCCGAUUGGUUGAGCCACUCCUCUUUGUGAUUGUUGACUAACAUUGAUCUUAGGGUGAGGUAGUUAACAGGUCUAUCUGGUUGUUCCAUAGAUGAUCCCGCAUUUGAUAGUUUAUCAGCCUUUUAAUUUCCCAUGAUGCCAAUGUGUCCAUGGAUCCACUCUAAUGUGAUAAUGAUAUUUAAUUUUGACAUCAUCUGAUGGAUUAUCUCACUUAGUGUUGUCAACUCUCUUGGGAUGGUUGAGGUGCUUAUCCAUAACAGAUCUGAUGUAUCCAAUGUAUAACUGUCUUAAGGUUUUCUUUUCGGUUCCCCAGCAUCUUCCUGCUAGGUGUUUUACUAUGUUAAGUCUUUGUGAUGUGUUUUCGCUUGAAUCUGCAAUAAAGUAUUUUAGAGACAGUCUUUGGUCUAAUUUCAAACCUAGAUAUGUUAAAUUUUUUAUUUUUUUUUAUUGGCUGUGAGUCUAUUUAUAAACUGUAGUCUCUUUUUGCUGUUUUGUUGCUGUGUUUAAAGAUUGAAUAAACUGACUUUUCUUUGUUUAUUUCCGUUUUCCAUAAUUUUAAAUACUUGGAGAUAGUUGUGAGGGCUAUAUUUAAUUUGGAUCUUGUCAGCACUGGAUAUUACUCUGUUGUCCAAAUUUUAUCUAGAAAAAAAUUACAGAUGUUACUUCAAGAGAGAGACAGAGAGAUUUACCAAAAGAUUUGUGCAGACUCAUCCUGUGGGUCAGUUCAUGAACAGAAUGAUUUACACAAAAUGUGAGGAGGCAGGAUUGGCAAAGUGGCAUUAAUCUUUUCUAUGUCCAGACGAUGUUCCUACAUGAAGUCAUGUAAAGUACAUGGAUGAAGACGUGCAUAGAGAACUGAACAGGGCAUUGGGACAUUGGAAUUAAGGUGGUUUUAAGUUAUUAGUUUAAGUUAUUGUAUUUUAUGUCAGUCUUGUUUUGUAAUUGUUGUUUGUGGAUGUGUCCAAAGUAGCCUUGUAAGUUUUGUUUGUAAUGUCUGACAUACUGUUGUUCAUCUUGUUUGUGCUUGUUUGACAGUCAUUGAAGUAGUUGUUUUUUACUGGCUUUAAUGUAGUUCUGUUAUGUAUUUAGCUAUUUAGUAUCAAUCUCUAAGACAGUAAUUCUAAUUCUUUGAGUUUGAAACUAUUUUUCUUUCCUUUAAUCGAGUAUUUAUUUGAGAAGGUCUUCUCAUUUAAAGUCUAUCUAGUUUGGAAUGUGAAACAAGUUAGUUUCUUAGUUAUCUUUUAUUUUUAAUUUUAAAAAGUAAUCUAUAUCAAUAUUUGUUUAAGUUCUAUUAAAUAUUUUUUUUUAUUAAAGAAUAAUAAGUCUUUUCUUAUAAAGGUGAAAAUAACUUUGAGGAAAUAUUCAUGGCUUUUCAAACUCAAUUAUCACUAAGAUGUUAGGGUGAAUGUGAAGAUGGUUUUAAAUAACUGGAACUUUGCAAAUAGUCUUAUUUAUUUAUUUCUGUAUUUCUGAAUGUCUUUGACUAUACAUAUGCUUGGUCAACUUACAGCAUGUUAACCUGACAAUACAUAUUAACUAUGACAGUCAAUACUUUUCCGCUAUUACUUACUGCAUGUGACCAGUCAAUACUUUUCCGCUAUUACUUACUGCAUGUGACCAGUCAAUACAUUUCCUCUAUUACUUACUGCAUGCUUACCUUACUAUACACUCACAUAGCAACUGAUUGUGUUUUGUAUUGUUCAAAUAUCUAGAAAAAUAAUUUUAAUUCUUUGAGAUUUCCAGAAGAAUAAUUAGUCUCUUCUGAUACAGAUCAAACAAACAUGGAGGAAAUGUAUUUCCAGAACUAAACAUGCCUCCUUGCCAUUGUGAUUGAGGUGAAGUUUAAGUCAUUAGACUUUUAUUGAAUGUUUCUUCAAGCAAUAUGACAAAAUAAAAACAUUGCAACAUUCUGCAUGUUGACUUGACAAUACAAUUAUUUUUUGACUCAUUCUACCUGGCAAUAUACAUAUGUAGGGACUUGUUGCAUAUGGACCUGAUUUCUACAACAUUUAAGGAGACAGACUGUAUAUUGACAUGGGGUGUAAGGUAGUUGAAAAGGUUAUUUGUCAGCAAAAUUCUACUUUAGAAUAGCCAAAAGCCUGAAGUUCCCAUCUACCUAGCUCAUCUAUGGCUUCUCGUGCCACACCCUGGCAACAGUCUUGGUUGAUUGGCUGAAUACAUGAGUGAAAACAGUUUCUUAA